Molecule: ribosomal RNA, 850 nt
Filed under: uncultured bacterium
Lineage: Bacteria
Description: bacterial SSU rRNA
Rfam family: Bacterial small subunit ribosomal RNA
Source: RNAcentral
CAGUCGAACGGCAGCACAGAGGAGCUUGCUCCUUGGGUGGCGAGUGGCGGACGGGUGAGGAAUACAUCGGAAUCUGCCCAGUCGUGGGGGAUAACAUAGGGAAACUUAUGCUAAUACCGCAUACGACCUACGGGUGAAAGCGGGGGAUCGCAAGACCUCGCGCGAUUGGAUGAGCCGAUGUCCGAUUAGCUAGUUGGCGGGGUAAUGGCCCACCAAGGCGACGAUCGGUAGCUGGUCUGAGAGGAUGAUCAGCCACACUGGAACUGAGACACGGUCCAGACUCCUACGGGAGGCAGCAGUGGGGAAUAUUGGACAAUGGGCGCAAGCCUGAUCCAGCCAUGCCGCGUGGGUGAAGAAGGCCUUCGGGUUGUAAAGCCCUUUUGUCCGGAAAGAAAAGCUCGAGGUUAAUACCUUCGGGUUCUGACGGUACCGGAAGAAUAAGCACCGGCUAACUUCGUGCCAGCAGCCGCGGUAAUACGAAGGGUGCAAGCGUUACUCGGAAUUACUGGGCGUAAAGCGUGCGUAGGUGGUUCGUUAAGUCUGAUGUGAAAGCCCUGGGCUCAACCUGGGAAUUGCAUUGGAUACUGGCGGGCUAGAGUGCGGUAGAGGAUGGCGGAAUUCCCGGUGUAGCAGUGAAAUGCGUAGAGAUCGGGAGGAACAUCUGUGGCGAAGGCGGCCAUCUGGACCAGCACUGACACUGAGGCACGAAAGCGUGGGGAGCAAACAGGAUUAGAUACCCUGGUAGUCCACGCCCUAAACGAUGCGAACUGGAUGUUGGGUGCAACUAGGCACUCAGUAUCGAAGCUAACGCGUUAAGUUCGCCGCCUGGGGAGUACGGUCGCAAGACUGA